AAUUUUUAAGAGUUCUGACCUGGAAGGGGUAAACCUCAGUGCAAUUUCCUUUCUAUUGCCUCAGUAUUACUGGAUUGAAGAAUUGUUGCUUCAUGUUAGGGGGUUCAUUUCAUUUUCCAUUACUCCCAACAUCAUACUUAAAGCACUGAGAAUUUCAAGUGGAGUAUUUUGAAGUAGACUUCAGUUUCUUUACAUCAUUUCUGUAUUCACUUUUUAAAAUUCUUUCCUAACCCUAUUGAGUGUUUUUUAACUAAAUUAAUAUGGCUCGAAUGAACUGCCCAGCUCCUGUGGAAGUCGCAUACAAGAACAUGAGAUUUCUUAUUACACACAAUCCAACCAAUGUGACUUUAAACAAAUUUAUAGAGGAACUUAAGAAAUAUGGAGUUACCACAAUAGUAAGAGUAUGUGAAGCAACUUACGACACUGCUCUUGUGGAAAAAGAAGCUAUCUAUGUUCUUGGUUGGCCUUUUGAUGAUGGUGCACCACCUUCCAACCAGAUUGUUGAUGACUGGUUAAGUCUUGUAAAAAUUAAGUUUCGUGAAGAACCUGGUUGUUGUAUUGCUGUUCAUUGUGUUUCAGGUCUUGGGAGAGCUCCAGUGCUUGUUGCCCUAGCAUUAAUUGAAGGUGGAAUGAAAUAUGAAGAUGCAGUACAGUUCAUAAGACAAAAGUGGCAUGGAGCUUUUAACAGCAAGCAACUUUUGUAUUUGGAGAAGUAUCGUCCUAAAAUGCGGCUGUGCUUCAAAGAGUCCAAUGGUCAUAGAAACAACCGUUGCAUUCAGUGAAACGGGUGCCUGAUG
This is an RNA transcript of Trichechus manatus latirostris (Florida manatee), 797 nucleotides long. It is a transcript of the gene named protein tyrosine phosphatase type IVA 1 pseudogene, with no coding region annotated. The record is from RefSeq and is a predicted model, not a curated record. The transcript has a single exon. NCBI's taxonomy places the organism in Eukaryota, Metazoa, Chordata, Mammalia, Sirenia, Trichechidae.